AAUAAACGCAACCAUGCAUUUCCGUGCCCAACAUUGAUUGUCCGUCUUAUUUAAAAUAUUUUUAUUUUUAUGAUUAAAAUUUUUAUUGUUAUUGGAUUAUAAAACAUGAGUAGUAUUUCAUGUAUGGCUUAUGUUAUUUUGGUUUUCUUAAAAAAUAUUAAAUAAGACAUAUGUUUAAAGUUAAAGACGGAAAUUGAUAGAUG
RNAcentral lists this microRNA precursor (203 nucleotides) under Oryza meridionalis. Its description in RNAcentral is "MIR812 microRNA precursor family". It matches the Rfam family "MIR812 microRNA precursor family". The record is from Rfam by way of RNAcentral. Lineage: Eukaryota; Viridiplantae; Streptophyta; Magnoliopsida; Poales; Poaceae.